ACUGACAGCCAUGGUUACCGCGGCUGCUGGCACGGAGUUAGCCGGUGCUUCUUCUGUGAGUGAUGUCCUUCCUGCCGGCUAUUAACCCGCAGGCCUUCUUCCUCACUGAAAGUGCUUUACAACCCGAAGGCCUUCUUCACACACGCGGCAUGGCUGGAUCAGGGUUGCCCCCAUUGUCCAAUAUUCCCCACUGCUGCCUCCCGUAGGAGUCUGGGCCGUGUCUCAGUCCCAGUGUGGCUGAUCAUCCUCUCAGACCAGCUACGGAUCGUCGCCUUGGUGAGCCGUUACCUCACCAACCAGCUAAUCCGACAUAGGCUCAUCCGAUAGCGCGAGGCCCGAAGGUCCCCCGCUUUCCCCCGUAGGGCGUAUGCGGUAUUAGCCUGGGUUUCCCCAGGUUAUCCCCCACUACCGGGCAGAUUCCUAUGCAUUACUCACCCGUCCGCCGCUCGCCACCAGGGAGCAAGCUCCCCGUGCUGCCGCUCGCUUGCAUGUGUUAGGCCUGCCGCCAGCGUUCAAU
RNAcentral lists this ribosomal RNA (517 nucleotides) under uncultured bacterium. RNAcentral describes it as "partial 16S ribosomal RNA". The record is from RNAcentral.